RNAcentral lists this ribosomal RNA (681 nucleotides) under uncultured ciliate. Its description in RNAcentral is "SSU rRNA". It matches the Rfam family "Eukaryotic small subunit ribosomal RNA", at positions 319 to 1019 of the family's 1831-position model. The record is from RNAcentral. Lineage: Eukaryota; Ciliophora.
CUGGAUGGUAGUGUAUUGGACUACCAUGGCGGUAACGGGUAAUGGAGAAUUAGGGUUUGGUUCCGGAGAGGGAGCCUGAGAAAUGGCUACCAUAUCUAAGGAAGGCAGCAGGCGUGUAAAUUACCCAAUCCUGAUUUAGGGAGGUAGUGACAAGAAAUAACAACCUGGGGGUUUUAUAACCUUACGGGAUUGCAAUGAGAAUAAUUUAAAUAACUUAGUGAGGAAUAAUUGGAGGGCAAGUCUGGUGUCAGCAGCCGUGGUAAUUUUAGCUCCAAUAGCGUAUAUUAAAGUUGUUGCAGUUAAAAAGCUCGUAGUUGAACUUCUGUUCGCUCUCAGACGUGGUUUGCCAGUUUGGGGGUGAACAUCCGUUUGCAAACCCUAUUCGUCCUUUAUUGGCACGGUGGGGGGAGUAGACAUUUUACUUUGAAAAAAUUAGAGUGUUCAAGGCAGGUAAUGGUCUGAAUACAUUAGCAUGGAAUAAUGGAAUAGGACUCAUGUCCAUUUGGUUGGUUAUUGGAUAGGAGUAAUGAUUAAUAGGGACAAUUGGGGGCAUUAGUAUUUAAUUGUCAGAGGUGAAAUUCUUGGAUUUAUUAAAGACUAACUUAUGCGAAAGCAUUUGCCAAGGAUGUUUUCAUUAAUCAAGAACGAAAGUUAGGGGAUCAAAGACGAUCAGAUACCGUC